CACGUAGGGUGCGAGCGUUGCCCGGAAUUAUUGGGCGUAAAGAGCUCGUAGGCGGUUUGUCGCGUCUGCUGUGAAAACCUAAGGCUCAACCUUGGGCUUGCAGUGGGUACGGGCAGACUAGAGUGCGGUAGGGGUGACUGGAAUUCCUGGUGUAGCGGUGAAAUGCGCAGAUAUCAGGAGGAACACCGAUGGCGAAGGCAGCUCGCUGGGACGGUACUGACGCUGAGGCGCGAAAGCGUGGGGAGCAAACAGG
RNAcentral lists this ribosomal RNA (253 nucleotides) under uncultured bacterium. RNAcentral describes it as "partial 16S ribosomal RNA". It matches the Rfam family "Bacterial small subunit ribosomal RNA", at positions 524 to 776 of the family's 1533-position model. The record is from RNAcentral.